GACGAACGCUGGCGGCGCGCCUAACACAUGCAAGUCGAACGAGCGAGAGAGAGCUUGCUUUCUCAAGCGAGUGGCGAACGGGUGAGUAACGCGUGAGGAACCUGCCUCAAAGAGGGGGACAACAGUUGGAAACGACUGCUAAUACCGCAUAAGCCCACAGGUCGGCAUCGACCAGAGGGAAAAGGAGCAAUCCGCUUUGAGAUGGCCUCGCGUCCGAUUAGCUAGUUGGUGAGGUAACGGCCCACCAAGGCAACGAUCGGUAGCCGGACUGAGAGGUUGAACGGCCACAUUGGGACUGAGACACGGCCCAGACUCCUACGGGAGGCAGCAGUGGGGAAUAUUGCACAAUGGGGGAAACCCUGAUGCAGCGACGCCGCGUGGAGGAAGAAGGUCUUCGGAUUGUAAACUCCUGUUGUUGAGGAAGAUAAUGACGGUACUCAACAAGGAAGUGACGGNUAACUACGUGCCAGCAGCCGCGGU
This 480-nucleotide ribosomal RNA is filed under the name uncultured bacterium. Its description in RNAcentral is "bacterial SSU rRNA". It matches the Rfam family "Bacterial small subunit ribosomal RNA", at positions 28 to 521 of the family's 1533-position model. The record is from RNAcentral.